CUCACAGUGAUGAGUUACAUACCGCCCCAGUCUGAUUACUGUGACCGAAAGGUAUUUUCUGAGUUGGU
RNAcentral lists this small nucleolar RNA (68 nucleotides) under Castor canadensis (American beaver). Lineage: Eukaryota; Metazoa; Chordata; Mammalia; Rodentia; Castoridae. The record is from RNAcentral.